UACGUAGGGUGCAAGCGUUAAUCGGAAUUACUGGGCGUAAAGUGUGCGCAGGCGGCUAAGCAAGUCGAGUGUGAAAGCCCCGGGCUUAACUUGGGAAUUGCGCUCGAAACUACUUGGCUGGAGUGUGGCAGAGGAAGGUGGAAUUCCACGUGUAGCGGUGAAAUGCGUAGAGAUGUGGAGGAACACCAAUGGCGAAGGCAGCCUUCUGGGCCAACACUGACGCUCAUGCACGAAAGCGUGGGGAGCAAACAGG
This 253-nucleotide ribosomal RNA is filed under the name uncultured bacterium. RNAcentral's name for it is "partial 16S ribosomal RNA". It matches the Rfam family "Bacterial small subunit ribosomal RNA", at positions 524 to 776 of the family's 1533-position model. The record is from RNAcentral.